Long non-coding RNA from Astatotilapia calliptera (eastern happy), 3440 nucleotides. The record is from Ensembl. Lineage: Eukaryota; Metazoa; Chordata; Actinopteri; Cichliformes; Cichlidae.
AACUGAUAAGAGCUUUUGUAGAUUUUAGUAAUGAUGUCCCUGAAUACCAAGUGAGCUGCAUCUAAAGAGACCCACAGGAAUUAAUAAAAAUGUCUCCAAUUUCAUGGCCGCAGUGGUUUCCUGCUUUUGAGAGAUCACAAAAGAAAAUCACUGAAUGCCACAAUUUAAUUAUGUAUUUCAGGGUGUCUCUGGAUGUAUUGCUCCUUUUUGGAAAUUCUGCAUCCCCAUUCUGGUCCCUCUCUUUGUCUUUCCCCAUCAUUCCACGUCACGCUUUCAUUUUUCUUUUACUUUCUCUCAGCACUCAUUUCCAUUUCUUUUCCUCUUUUUUUUUUCUUAUUUCAAAUUUCUCAUUCAGAUCUCAUCCCCUGUCCUUUCUGUCUUGCCCGGCCCCCUCCUUUUUUUGUACCCUUGUGUUCUCUUUUAUAUUGCUGCCUCUCUCCACCAGUGCUCUGAUUCAUUCCUCCUCUGCUUCACUCUUUUACAUGGGCAGGUGGCAGAGCAGCUGGCCUACUAUGGCCAUGUGUCAGAGACAGUAAUCACAGAGGAGAUGUUUGACGCCGCUGUGCAAUUUGGCACAGUGCAGGGUGACCCCACCCAGAGCUGAGCAAGACGACCUGUUUGGAUAGCCCCCCGGUUGCCCCAAGCACCGACUGGGAAAGGAGCAUCAAGGACGGCUCACCUCACACCUCAACGGCCUCGCAGGUGGGCUCCUCAGGGGAAGAGGGGGAGACGGUUGGCUGUCAAAUGACACGAGGCGGCAGAUCUACAAAAGGUAAAACUACUGGCUGAAGACACAACUCUGGCCAGGAAUCCAAGGCCCAAAGCCACCGCGGUCAGGGUUGUUAGCCUGGUUACAAACAGGGGAAAGGUGGUCACUUGGAAGAACAAGCAGCCAAAACGUAUCAAUCCUGCAUCUUCCUCAAAAAGGUUUGCUACCAACCUUUUCAGGCCUGACUUCGUUCGAGGCUGGGUCUCCACAUCACAUCCUGGGAGCUGGAACUUCCCCAAAACUGGUCCAGUUUCCUUGUCAGGGGCACAGAGAGUCUCCAGUCCAGUGUUUGUUUUCCUGCCUUCCAGCACAUCCACUCACAUCCCAAUAAGAAUGAGUCCUCCCUCCAACAUCCUCAGUUUACUUUAAAAGCAAAACCAGGCCAGGUUAAAAAUCUUCUCCAUUAAAAUGUGCACACUUCAUCCUGGAUCUUCGAGGCUUCCCUGCUUCAUCAGUGUCCUACUAAAAAAAUAACGACAACCCCUACUUCCUGUUUCCUCUCCCCUUUAUAGAGAAGGGCUCCAAUCCUCCCCAAUCAGCUGCUCCCUGUAUUCAACUCCAAAUAGCUGGCAGCUGGACUAGAGUAGAAUCUCCACUCCCACAUGGGUGUGGCCCACACCUCACAUCAAACACAAAAAAAACACCAAAGCAUGCAAUUAAUACAAAACAAAAUCUAAAGAAAUGCCAACCCAAAAGCUUAGUGGGGGAUUCUCUCCAUCCUUUUCCACCAUGCUAUACUCUGUAACAGUACCGUUAAGAAAUUAUGCUUGCCCUGCUGGCCACUAACUUCCUCUCCACACUGAAAAGAUUGAUAAUGCAGCACUAACUAUGUGUACAUAGUAAUCUCACUUUGAUUAUUUGAACAUUGUCGUUAUUCAUAACGUUAAACUUCUAAACUUUAUGUCAAGCUGACUGUUCAGAACACACCUGUAUGUUAACAAGUUCUGGAAAAGCUAGAUGGUUAUGUUAAGCAUUUUUUUCAGAGAGUGUGUUGCUGUGAAUUUUGGGAUAACAUUACUUCCCUCCAGAUUAGAUGGUUCGGUGUAUCUUUUGGAAAAGGAGGUAAGAAAGGAGGUGUUGAAGCACCUUUUCACAGUGUUUAAAUCUUUUUAUGGCCACCACUCAGAUACUUCCUUCACCCAUUUAAGCCACAGUCACACAGGCCUGUCAGUAGCUAUCGCCUGGCAACCACCGUUGCUUGGUAAAAAUGUUUAUUCCCUGACCGGUAAGCAAAUGGUUGCUGGAAGGUGCCCGCUGUCGCUAGGUGAAAUUUGUUACAAAGUGGUAAAUGGUGCUACACUUUUUACAAGUCAACUCGUCUCUUUCCAUGUAAGCCAUGGUUGACUGUGGCAAUGAAAGUAAUCAGUGCUGCACCCUCUGUGUGGCCGAUUUCCCCAACUGACAGCCAGCAACCUCCAGCAACCUCCAGCAACAAUUUGCCUACCAUUUAGGGAAUACAAUUGGGCUGGAGACGUCCCAUGUGACUGAAGACUUAGCAAAAUUCUUUAAAAGCAAGAUGUGGACACAAAUCGUUACUCGGAACCAAGAUUGUUCAAGAAUUUCAUUAAACAGUUGAAAAUGAAAUGUUUUUAACUACCUGACAUGGAAAAGCCACACCAAAAUAGGGUGUACAUAGGGUACCACCAUGUUCAGCUAUAGGCUGAGCUAAACACAUUUUGUUAAUUUGCCCUCGCUAAUCCUACUCAUCUGUUUUUAUUUAGAUGAAUUUUGAUUCUACUUUGUUUCACCCUGGAUUCACCAAAGUCCGUCUCUCCCUCUUUCAGCCUCCCAUUUCCACUGUGAGCAGCAACUAUAAACUUUUGUGUCUUCAGGAUUACCUUUCCAUCACGGGAUGAAUGAAGUGUGAAAAGCAAUCUGAGAAUCGCCAGGCCACUUCUGCGGAUGCAAUUAUGCCAAUGGCAGAUCAUUUUCUGACCUUUAUCCUCCAGCCAGUGUUGAUGGCAGUUUGCCACUGUGACAGACUGCUUUUUGUUUUCAUGUAUUUUACAGUUGUGUGACAGCUGAAAACCUGGCUCUUAAAGGCUGAGGUGCUCAUCCGUUUGAAAGACAGCCUGACUUUUUGUGCUGCUCUUUUUCUUUCGCUCUCUAUUUACUUAUGUUGUGUAUGUCCCUGUCAGUGUAACAUUCUCAUUAUUUCUUUACUGCCACUUCUGUCUCCUUCCCUCUCUCUCUUCCUCUGUAUUUUUUGUCCCAUUUCUCUCUUUCUGUCUCCGUAUUACGUGUAUUUCUAUCAGGUAUUUUCCAAAGUCUGUGUCCAGGACCAAACCAGUGUUUUUGUUCUGGCUGAUGCCUUCAUUCAAAGGUUCACGGUCCUGCUUCAGGUAAAUUGCUCCUUCUGACAAACAACCACGAGCACAGAUACAGACACACACCUUUGAACGUAGUGUUGUAGUCCAGUUUCUCAAUUCUGCAGGUUUGUGCUUUUCCAUCCAUUUCAUCUUGUUGUCAAGCUGGUUUUGUCACGUGUUGUAUUUUUGCAUUUGCACAUAGUCCUGUUUACCUGUGCUCAUAUGUUUUUGCUAUUUUGCAAACUGGUGAGCUGUCAUCUCUCAUGGAAUACAUAGUCUGUCUCAUUUGUGAAGAUUUCCUGCAUUAUUUUUUUUUAAAUUCCUGUUUCCCUUUUCCUCCUCAAUUAAAAUCAAAAUACAAA